AAAAAAAAAAAAAAAAAGUUGUAUCGAGAGCAGCCAACUUAACCGAAAGCUAUUUUUCAAGGCUAGAGGCCUUCACUAGGGGAACAUGAUUCUCAUGUAAAUCGUAUUACGUAUCAAUCUUAUCUUGUUCGGAAGAGAAAAAGCUAUCUUGAUACUGAGUACAUGAAAUUGGCUUCAAAUGCGACACCAAUCCUCUACAAAAUGGACAUAAGAUCAUGCUCGAAGCAGAACUAAAUAGAAUGAUUUCUCCUAGGAAGAGUUGCUUUUUCUAAAUAAAACUCAGAAUGGAACUAAAAGAAACACCAUAUGUGGUGAACCAAUAAUGCAUUUACCUUCGUUUUUACCGUCGAAUUGACGCUGUUAAAGGCUACGCUAGCCAACGAUCUAGCCAUACCUGUAACGAGGAUACCCUCGAAUCUUCAACUUGCAGCAACUAGAGGAGAAAUCCUUCAAUCAGAAAUAGAAUAUGGAUUGAUAAAGCACACGAAUUUUUGCUAAACCAGUAUUACGCAACUGCUCAAAAAUCAGAGUUCAUAUCCUUCGAUCCAUAUAUAUUGCUCAAAAGAAGUAAAAAGCAUAUCAAAAGAUAGUCGCUGGCGUAUUCAUAAUCCAGCAUGUAAUCGAUAAGCUGUAACAAGCAAUGCACAAGCACAUCAAAGAGGAAGCAUCGCAUCAACAUUCACACAGAUAAUAAGAAUGGUUUGAUCAAACUAGUGUGCUCAGAAACCCUAGAGCACAAAGUCCCCAAAUCGGUCAUUGUAAAAUGAGAAAUAAGCUAUUGAGGAAAACAAAAUUCAUUUAUUAUCCAAUUUUUUUCUAAAUAAAAUGCGUAAAAAGGGAAACGAGAAGUCGAGAACAAUGUAUCAGGCACCUGAAACGAAGGUUGUAGAGAGAGAGAGAGAGAGAGAGAGAGAAGAUGCAAACGAUGAAAGAGGAAGGGGAUGAAUCGCUCCAACGGACGAGCUUAAGCUGUCGACAGCAACGUUAAUGGGCCUGAUGAGCUUUAAUUGAGGCCCAUUGGGGGGGGAAACAAAAUAGAGCUCUAAGAGAGCCUGUUUAUGAUUGCUAGGCCUGGACGGGGGGAUUCGAAAUUUUCAGCUUCGUUCGGAUGGAAAGCUAAAAUAAGCUUUGAAUUCUAUAAGUUAGUGAUGAAGAGGAGCCGUGCUCCAAUUUGAUUUCAGCUUUACCGCGGAUUCUAAUGCGUCUCAUGUCUAGAAUCUAGAGAUUAUACUGUAUGAUGUAAUGUGUUGUUCAUAUUAGCACCCUACAAUCUCAUUACGAUUCUCAUUUGCAACGAAAGGACUGUUUCUUUUCUGUGGAUCAAAUGCUUUACUGGAGAUGAAUGUUGCUUGAAGCAAACUAAUGAAAGACUUAUUCCAGAUUGUAGAAUACGGGAUAAGAACCAUUAACGCGUCAAAUUAUUGCAAGAGUUACAAUUUUCUCUAUAGACUUUAUUUCGUCUUCAUUAAUUACACUGUUAAGUUCGAACGAAGUAAAUAAGAGCAUGAGAUGGCAUAACCACUGCAUUCCCUUGGCUCCGCAACACUUAACUACAAAGUAUACGGACGUGUCUAGAGUGUAGGGUUUUUUCCUUUUUCCAAAAAAGAAAAGUUCGGAAGACUUUAGAGUGUGGGUACUGAAGAACAAAACUGCUCCCAAGAGAAGCAAGGUAUCACGUUUGGUGAGGCCUCUGAAACCACACUAAUGCAAACGCCACAGCAAUGAAUAAUGAAUUACUUCUACAUGUCCCAUACAAUCAGCUGAUUUCAAGCUCCAAAAUAAGUAGGUAAUACGCAUUCCCCAGAAUUUGAGAAGCUGAAUUCAAUUCUCAAGUGAAAAAUAAAAAGAAAAAAAAAUGUUAAAAUAGAUGAAAAAAAAAAAAUCAAAUAACAAGAGCCUCGUUGGCCCAGCAAAAGCAGGAAACGCUUUUCCAAGCUGGGCGGCCAAUAAGCAUUCACUGCACACAAACCGGCCAAACUAUAUGACAAAAGUGAAAUUCAAUCUGAAUUCUAAAUUGAACUGUUUUUUUUUCCUUUUUAUUACAAUUUUUUUUCCCCAACUUUCCCUUUCCCUCUCCCUCGGCCACCCUCUCCUGCCCAGCACCACAUCCACAAUCUCGUGUUCACACAAUGAUGAGGCGGCAACCGCCCUGUGUAGAAGCACAUAACAAAAACAAGGAAAUAAAUAAUUCAUCGCUAUGUAAAAAGCAUGAAGACGAUGGCUGCGAAAACUGCAGCUCACCGUGUCCCUGGAUAAGAAGUGACUCAUUGUCCCCAACCAGCUCGGCCCUCCGAAGGAGAACUGAUACUGGCAACCGAUCGAGGAAAAUGCCUUUCUCACAACAGUGUCUCGUCCUCAUCAUCGGCUUCAUCAUGGGGCAUCCUCCGCUGCCGCCUCCGUCUAUGCUGGCCCUCUUCAGCUACUCCAUCAUUGUCUGCAUUAUCUUCGACGGCAUUAGAAACAUUACUGCUCACUCCUCCAUUCGUGUCCGCCUCAUUGAAGGCCUCCCCCCAGAGAAACACUCGCCUUCCUCGGCGAUUCACAGUCCUCAAAUUCCUUGGGGAGCUUCUCCUGUAUCUUAAAGUCGGCUGCAUGUUGUCUGUACCUCCUUGCUGGCUAACCUGUACAACUAAAAACAAGGUGAAGGAGGGAAAUGCGAAAACCCGGCCUCCGAAAUCCUCUCGCUCGCUGUUUGCGCCAAACAACUCUUCAUCCGCGCUGGUAUCCGACCGGAACAUGCUGAACAGAUCCCCGAGAUCCCGUUGCUGCUCUAUCCUCCGCCAGUCCCGCUGCCGCUCAGGGUCUACCUCCGAAGGCCGCCCAGACGGAUGGUCCUUCCUUGCGUGCUUUCUUAAUUCUGCAUACGUCCCCGAGAAGGCACAAGACUCCAUAGAGCAGCUACGGUUCUUGGUAUUCAUAUACCGCCGAGCGGGUUCCAACACCAUCCAACUGUUGACAAGCCCCCGGCAUAAAGGGCACGAGAGUUUGUUUUGAAGCGAGUCCUCGGCAUUCCCUUCAGAGGUUUUGGAUCCUGAGAAGGCCUUCUUGUACUGAUCGAGGCAAUUGGAAUGCCGGUAGCUCGUGUCGCACAUGAAUGGUCGGCAGCCUUUGUCAUGGGAAGAGCAGAGAAGUAGUACCGCGUUAUGAGGGUGCUCCAUACAAACAGGGCAGCGGACGUCCUCCCAUUCUUUAGUGUCAGUGGAUAUAAGAGCAUGUUCGGGUGGCUCCUGUGAAUGUGAAGAAUCACUUCUUCUGGUAGAUGAACUACAAGGGUAGGGAGAAGCACGAGAAUGCCGUUCAAAGGAUGCAGAACGAGUUCCCCUGUCCUUAGGCAUAUUACUACUUGAUAGACCAAGAACUAAUGAACAAAUUUCUUGACAAAGCAACACUUUUUAUACAGCACAGAGGAAGAAAUUCGAAUAGGAACUAGAGCUUCAAGGUCUGAAAUCAAACAAGAUAAAACAAAUCAAUGCAACCCAAGAUACGUUUCCUGAUUAAGCAGUUAGUUUUCAGUUAAUUAUAAAGCAAAAGAAACCAGAAAAAGAAUGAAUAUAUAAAAGUUUUCAUUUUCAUCACUCAGCAAUCAGAAUACAUCAAUAAAGAAUACAAUAACAGAACCUACUUUCUAAACAUGAAUAACACAUAAUUAAUCUAUUAAAAUGCAAGAGUGAAUGCACAACUAUGCGCUCAACCAAUAUUUGGCUAAUUUCAAAGAAAACAUCCCAAUAAGCUGCUAUAUAACAAGAUUACACAACUGCUAAGAUUCAACAACAAAGUAUACACAAAAAUUUCACCUUAACAUAUAUUACAUAUAAUAUACGCUGAUGUGGCUAUUCAAAUAAAACUUGUUUUACAACUCAUAUUAAAGAAACCACACCGUCAUCGUAUGAAUCUCUGGUUACCGUAUACAUUAGCGUCCAAUAAUGUUCCUUAAAAAGCAACUCACGAAGACAAUAAUAGCUAACAACCGCAUCCAUGACCCUCAAUUCUCGCAAUGAUUAUUGACAUACUCAACAUCUACACCAAGAAAUUGAUCUAACAACACCAGCAUCCGCACAAGAGCGACACAAACCCUAAUCACACAAUAGAACCUCCCACUCCAUAACACCAAAUCGAGAUGAACAAAGACCAAAAAGCGACGCCUAUAUACACAGAGACUACACGCGAGAGCCGAAUCAACGCCAAAAAGAGAGGGAAGAAAAAAAAAAAGAAAAGAAGAGGGAUUCGAAUUCACGAUGGAGAUUAUUACCGAUCGGGGUUUUCCAAAGAUCUGCGAGAAGUGGAUUCGAUCGAUCGAAGCAAAUAGCGAGCGCGUGGGGGGAAGAGAGAGAGUCCUCGGAGUCGGCUGAGGAGAGAGAGAGAAAGAGGAGGAGGAGGAAGAAGCCCUAAUUUUUCGACGAAAAGGGGGGGAGGGGAAGAAACGCGAUAUGCGGAGGAGGUGGGGCGCCUUUUAUCGGAGAGGCGUGGAUGACGUGGCAGCUGACGUGGGCGGCUAGGGUUCUCUCGAGGUCAAAACGGCGCCUACCGUCGGUAGAAGGUGCCUUUUUUUUUUCUUUCUCACGAGAAUUUCUCCGAUGCACCGGGUGUACGAGUAUAUUUUUACAAUCUCAUACACCGCUCUCCAAAAUAUCACUAUAAAAAUAAAUAUAUUUUAUAAUAUUUCAAAAAAUUAUUAAAUAUAAUUUUUUAUAAACAGGGUAAUGAUUAUUUCUAAAUCUAAGGGCAUGUUUGGUUCGCUUAUUUUUUACCUUGGAGUCGGAAUAGGAAUGAAUGAAUUCAUUUGUGGGUGUUUGGUACUCGGGAGUCCUAUUCUGAUUCCGAUUUCCGAGUGGAAUGGAAAUUUCCUAAUCAGUUGAAUCCGGACGAAAUAGAUAUUUAUUCGGAUUAAAUUUAUUUUUUCAACUUUUUUUAAUUAAAAUAUGAGUUUAAAUUUAGAAAUUAAAUUUAUAUUUUUAAAUUUUAAUUUGAAUUUGAAUUAAAAAUUAAAAUUUAAUCAUGUAUUUUGAAUCUAACUUAUAAAUUUGAAUUUAAAUUAAAUUUUAAUUUAUAUAAAGUUUUAUUCAAAUUUUAUUUAAAACUUAAAUUAAAUUUAUAAAUUCAAAUUAAAAUUUAAAUUGUAAUUUUAAGUUUGAAUUUGAAUAAAUCAAAAUUUAGUUUNAACAGGAUAAUAAUUAUUUUUAAAAUUUAAAUUAUAAUUUUAAGUUUGAAUUUGAAUAAAUCGAAAUAAUCAUUACCCAAUAGUGUAAUUUAUGUUUUUGUUGAGAAAACUUUAAUAAGACUAUAUUAUAAGUUGCAUGACAAUUGUAGGCAAUAAUGCAAUAUUUAUAUAUAUAUUAUUUUUUUUUUUGGGUUAAUUGGAACAGAGGAAGGUGGGCCGUUCACAUCGUGUGGGCCCCGGAGAAUCAACGGCUCACGAUGCGUCGUACGAGUUGGGACCGCGGAUUUAUGAUUGUGCUGAGGGGGGAGUUUUGUAUCUUUUGUUUUGGUGGAAGCCACAACUUCAGAGGUCUACAGCUAUUGCUAUUUUCACACCCUUUUUAUAGAUUUCUGUGAGUUUUAUUAUUAAUUCUUUUGAAAUUAAAACUAUUUUAGUUUUAAUUAAUCUUACAAAAUAUAUUUUAGAAUUAGUUAAAUUUGAUGGCAAUUCUAUAGAAUAUUCUCGACUGUUUUUCUGGUGAAACUGUAAAAAACAUAUCGUAAUCGAUUCAUUACAUUCUAAAAAUUUGUCUCGUUAUGUUAUUUAUUUUGCAUAUGAAAAAAUAUAUAAAAUGGAUACAUCUAUAGAUCGAAAUUGAAAUAACUGCUUUUAUAUGUAGUAAGGCUUCGUUUGAGAUUGAAAGAGCGACGAUAGAAAAAUAUCAUGUUUGUUUCCGUACGUAAUAUUGCGUUUUGCAUAUCGCACUGAGUCGAUUACGAUAUAUUUUCUCCGGUCCCAUCAAAGAACGCAGAAGCAUAUCCCUGUAUGCUUUUUCCUCAACUCUAUUUUAUCUAAUAGCGUUAGAUAGAUCUCAAUAUCAAACUAAGUCUAAGUAUGAAUAUGAAUAUGGACAUAGAUAUAAAAUUAUUCCAAUUUUAUUACGGAUCUAAAACGGGUUCGAGCCUAAGCUUGUUGAACCAGUUUGGCCCGUCCCGAGCUGAACCCGAGCUCGAACCGGAUUCGACCCGGCCCAUCUCUUCACAACCCAACUCGAGGGGCCAAUUCUCUCUCUCUCUCUCUCUCUCUCUCCUCUUAAAUCUCCGACGCGCUAAAAACCCUACACCUCCUCCUCGCGCCUCUUCCCGCUCCGUCGCCCCCACCCCCGCCGUCGCCGCCGCAAACCCUAGCCGCCGCACCAAACCCCUGCUUGUGUUCGAUCCUCGUCGCCGCACUCGAACCAUGGGCGGAGAGAAGAGCCCCUCUCUCCUCUCGUCCUUUACAUCCGAUGGAGAUCGCUUCGCCGUUCUAUCCCCCGAUGGAACCAUCAGAGUGCGAUUCUUAUCUGAUUUUUCGCUAUUUUUCAAGCUAUUUCAUGCCAACAACAUCUACUUUUCUCUAAAGCAGCUUCUUUUCCGUGGGCCGUUUCGCCCUGCUGUAGUGUGUAGUAAUGUUGGAUUAAGUGUUUUUGAAUUAGUGCUUUUAGAAGUAGCACUACAUGGAAGUUCCUCUUUGACCUUGGCUAUAUGAUUAAAGUACUUGAAAAUGUACAAUUUACGAGGAAAUUUAAUAGUGCUGUUGUUGGAGUAACUCUUUGAGCUAAUUUAUAUCCCAUGUUCAGAUAUUGGAUACCCUAUCGGGAACAGUCGUUGCAGAAUGGAGGGACCUAUAUGUGGAUUCGACUAUUUCGUAUUCUUGCAUUUCAUGUGGUUACAUUGGAAAGAAGGUAAAAGUUUUGCUUAGUUAGUUGCUGUUUAUGGACUAAUUUAAUUAUAGCAUGGAUUAACAUGAAUUGAUUUUUCGAAUUUAUAUGCUUAUUUCCAGCGCAAGAGAGAUCAGAAAACUUUCUUACUUGCUAUCGGUACAGAAACUGGUGAUGUUUUGGCUGUAGAUAUUCUGACUAAUCAGAAAAGAUGGGUAAACAGCGAGUGCCACUCUGGGUAUGUUCUACCAGUCUUUGUGGGAGAUUUGUUGAUUAUGACUAUGUUAUUUAAAGCUAGGACUGUUUUAUGUUAGCGAAGAAUCGUCAAAAUUAUGGGAGAAAUCAAGAUUGUUGAACCCUGUUAUCUUGGGAGAAAUCAAGAUUAUUGAACCCUGUUAUCUUGUUUGUGGAUUAUAUUUGAAAUCCAUUAAAAUUUAAGAAUUGUAUGUUGUUUAUGAAUAUUUGAUGUUGCCAAAUUGAGUCAUCAAAGGAAGGUACUUUCUUCCUUAUAUUUGAUGCAGUACAAUUUCCAUCUUUAAUUUGUAAAAAGACUCCCCUAUUGUUGUUUGGAAACUUGUAUAUGUAUGUACUCCUCAACCUUGUAAACUUUGAGAGAGGGAAGCCACCUGUAUACUUUUUCACGUUUUACAUGUAGUCACGAGCCCGCUUGAUCUAAACAUUUUGAAACUAACUUUGUAGGGUGAUUAUCGGGGAAAUGUUACUUAAAAAUUCUUCUAGCUAAAUAGAAUUAUGUCCAACAUGCUAGCUGACCGUUUCUAGAUUGCUUUAGUACUUAAUUUGUUAUGCUGAUGAAGAUAUCUUACUUUAUGUUUCUCUGUCCAUUUUUUAUUUCUCUAUUAAAUUUGUCCUCCUGUACACACAACGUGAUAUUGUUCUUAUUUCCUUAGUGGGGUUGCUGCUCUUUGUUUCACCAAAAAAGGCCGUAUUCUUUAUUCUGCUGGGACUGAUGGCAUGGUGUAUGAACUGAAUUCUGAUACGGGAGAAAACAUUGGGCAAUUCAACGCUUCAAAGAGGUCAAUUACUUCCCUAACCCUUUCAAGAGGUGAGUGCAACUUUAGAUAUAACCUUCUUAAUUUGGGUACCAUGUUUUACUUCCAGAAAUACUAUGCAAAUUGCUAUAUUUCCUUUCCUAUAAGUCGAAAGUACACUAUAUCAGAUAAUGGCUGUGAUAAUAGGUGGAAAUCAAUGGCUCAGUGAAUAGCCUUCAUUUACUAUUAAUUAUUUGACUUCUUCAUGCUGGCAGAACUAAGUAUCUUCAAACAUCACUAGAAUCAAUUAGGAAACAAUUCAAUCUAUUGGAUUAGAUCCUUUUUGAGUUGACUUUGAUGUAUUCUGCAUAUAGUUAAAGUACUCUCCUUUGCAUAUAAAAGUCUCAUGCACUGGUCGGAGUGGUAAAAAUCUAAUUUAGGAUCUAUUUUAAACUGGGAGUUUCGCACUAUAAUUACUUUAUGUAAUUGCUAUACUACAAUCACCUUGAUCCUCUAAAAUUAGCUGCUUGUGCUUUGAACAUUAGAUGAGAAAGUCAUGGCUGUAGCUAGCAAUAAAACACGGCUGUUCAGCUGGGAGGACAAAAAGGAGCUUUUGAAGAUUCCUUCUGAUUAUGUACGCUAAUAUCACUUUGCACCUUCUGGAGUCUCUUUUCCUCUUAAUUUAUUUACUUUUCAUAGUCAUAUUUUCUUCUAAUUAUAAUGCUGUGUUGAGGUUGUUGUGUUGACAGGGUACUGUUCAAUACAUAGCUGUAUCAGAUGAUGGGGAUGUUGCUGUUUCAUCUGUGACUGGACACAAACAACUUCAAAUGUGGUCUUUUGAUCAUGAAAAUGAAAGGAGUACAGCUGAGUUUGCCCUUUCCAUGCAAAGUAUACCAAUUAUGUUGGAAUGUAGAGGUUCUAAGAAGACAGAUAGCUUAUACGUUCUCUCAGUUUCAGAAAAAGGCAUUGCUUAUGUGUGGCAUUUGAAAAGCAUGUCUCGAGAUGGAGUUCUGCGAACUAAAAUCCUGGUUAAAUCAAAAAAACCAAUACUGGAUGAAGGAAAAGGUGGCAAAAAAGAUCGCGUGCCUAUAGUUUCUGCUAUGUUGUGUUAUGCAGAGGAAGAUGCACAAGCUUCAGUCCUUGUUGCCUUUGGUUCGCUUGAUAAUUUGCAGUUCAGAUUUGUUGAGGUGAAUGAUAGUGGCAAAGAUAUCUACUUGACGGCUGAUAAUGAAAUGUCAGUUGAUAAAACACUGAGGACACAUACAGAUUCUAAUGCAGAAGGUUUGUUGUAUUUGUACUUAUAAUCUUUUAUUCACAUUCCAGUUUUCGGCUUCUCUUUUGUUUGGUGGCUGAUCUUUUGUUUUAUAGAGCUUGCAAAUUCCUCUCACCUCUAAGCACUUUCUUUGAUGGCAUAUUUGCUACGCUUGAGCCAAGAUGCCAUUUUUGUACAUUCCUAACUGUUGAAUCUCAGUUUUUGGAGAAUAAUUUCUCUCUUGUGGGCUUUAACUCCCGGACUGGGAAAUAAUUACUGAUUUUUGUGAUUCGCAACUUUUUUUGCAAGUAUAUAGUGUUAUGAAGAAUGAAGAAGGAAAAAAGGGGUGGGCACAACUAUUAAGGAUGGCAUGCUUAUAUUUGCCAAGACAAGGAUAUUCAAAGCUGCUGAAUAAAGCGGCGCGUUAUGUUUUUAAUUAAAGACCAUUUAGUAGCUAUGACAAUCCGCUUAAAUUUGUUGUUUCUGUUGCAACAGAAAUUGAUGGCGAUAUCAAAAGUUCUAAUUUAGGAGAGACAACUACUCCAAGCCAGAGAAAAAGAGCAAAGAAGCGAAUGACACCAGAUUCAGACACUGCAAAUGAAGGUUCUUUGUCAACUGGGUAAAGAGUGUGCAUUCUGCUCCCUUUUCUGUUGAUAGGUAAUUAAUUUCAAACCAUUUUGUAGAGGCAGUUCGUGAACCAGUGGCUGAAUUUGAUCUCGAUGAGCCAACUAUGGCUGAGAAACUAGCUAGCCUUGACUUGCAAAAUGGUGAGAACGAAAAGAGUGAUGUGGAAAAAGCAUCAUCUCCAACUAUCAAGCCUCCUAGUGCAGAUUCGGUGCAUGUUUUGCUGAAACAAGCACUACAUGCUGAUGAUCAUUCGUUAUUAUUGGACUGUUUGUACACUAGGGAUGAAAAGGUAUGGCCCAUUGCCUUUUACUCACUUGACGUUGUUACGAUACUUUUCUCUGCUGCAUUAGUUUGUCAAAACUUUCAUCUUAUCAUAACUUGCUUAUUAUUAUGUUACUUUAUAACAGGUCAUUGCAAAUUCUAUAUCACUUUUGACUCCAGCAGAUGUUCUCAAGCUUUUAAAAUCCAUUAUGUUAAUGAUCCAAUCAAGGUAAUUAAUUAUGUACUCAUAAAUUUGUCUUAAGAUCAUGCACAAGAUAGAUCUAUUUAAAGCAUUCUUUUUCUUUUUUCUUUUUUCUUUUUUCUUUAAGGGGCGGGUUGGGGGGCGUGGGGUUGCAGUUGAACCUAUUCUGAUAUCUGAUUUAUAUUUCUAUUGUAAUAGGGGUGCAGUAUUAAUCUGUGUAAUUCCAUGGCUAAGGAGUUUGCUUGGUCAACAUGCAAGCAGUAUAGCAUCCCAAGACUCAUCUCUACAACUCCUCAACUCUUUGUAUCAGGUUAGCAUUAUUUUCUUUAAGGCACUUUCUAUUGACGGACUUUGUAGUCAUGCGAGAUAGUUUUAAAAAAGUUAAGUGCCUAGUCUCAAAUCUCAUAAUCUAUGAACUCUGCAACAAAUGAUCUGUAUAAUGAGAUCACAUAUGUUAUGUUUGCGGUAAUGCCCUCUCUGAGAGCUAAUAAGCUGCAGCAAACUUGUAAAGUUGACACUCUACAUGUGCAUGCACAGGCAAAAUAUCAUAUUAACACAUGAUGCAGCAUUGAGAAAGUGCGCCUCACUAUUAACAUGUGUACAUAUUUAUGUGCUAAGCCGAAAUGCUUCUCUUAUUGUGUAUAUGCUAUAACAUGGUACAUGACCAUAAAACCUAGCAAAAAGAUGCACUGAAAUUUUUAGUCUGUUUUAAAGUUAAAUUGUUUGCGGAAGUUGGCACCUUCUUUGAUUUCGAUAAUACAAUAUUAAUUGUUAUUAAUUUUCUUCUGUAGCUUAUUGAUUCGAGGAUCUCAACAUUUGGAUCGGCUCUCCAACUUUCUACAUGUCUAGAUUACCUUUUCGUUGGGGUAAGAUUUUUCCCCCCUCCUCUUUUGGCCCUUAAUAUGAAGAAUGUGUUACUCCUUGGCUUUUGGAACAGCUUUGCUAUCCCGAGAAACAACAACGAAAAUUCUUGGCAAAAAAAAUAAAUGAAAAUCUACAGCUUUUAAAGGCUGACAACUUGAAUGAGCUUUUGGGAUGCCAAAUGCGAAAGUUCCGAAAUGAAACUUACGCUUCCGUUGUCACAACUGGAUAUUAAGGGGAUUUUAGUCUUUAAAAAAGCAAAAAUAUUUUGUUAUUACUUCUUCAAAGUUCGAACUGUACUUAGACAGUACUUCUGCAAAAGUUUUAGCCAGGCCAAAUUAGUCUUAAGUGUUAAUAUACUAUUCAUUCUAUCCAUAUGCUUCUUCAUAGAUCUGUGACGACGAAGCUGAUGAUGAAGCAACCACCCUGCCCAUAAUUUAUGAGGACAAGGACAGUGAAGAGGAGGAAGGAGAAGAAUCUGAAGACGGAGAUGCAAUGGAAACUGAUGAUAAUGAAGAGUUGGGAGACGUGAUUGAUGCUCCACAUUAUUCUGAUGGAAGUGAGGUCAUGAGUGAUUGAUGCAAUUAACUCACAAUGGUGCAUAGUCGGGAGCUUGUCGUGUUAUUUAGAUUAUGAGCUUCAGUUCUUUUACCAGGAAAACUGGGAAAAAGAACGUAAAUUUUGGUACUAGCUACAUAAAUGGAUGUUCUUUAAAUUAUAUCUUCAGAAGCCUAUAUGUUGUAAUUUGUUUAUUGAAGAAGGUGGUGCUUUUGUUCUAUUUUAUUUUUUAUUCGAAAUGAAUGAGUUGAUUGGAGCGGCAGUAGUUGUCAGCUUAAUAAGUUUUAACCCGAAUCUCUACCUACUGGUAGAAUAUGAAUGGUUGGUUAGGAGUUUGGGCACGUUAUUUAUUUAUUUAUUCUCACAGUGUGUUGCUACAGCAUAGUUUGAAAAUUGAGUUCUCCAGACACAUCCACAUCUACAUGGUCUUCCUCAGACAACUUUAAAAUAGUUUGACGUUCUACACUUUCGACGCUGAAAUUCGCCGGGAACAUAGCAUCUGUUAUAAAUGAAGCUGUGAAAUAACCUUCACAUAUUUUUAAAUUUUGUAAAAAUAUGAAAAAAAAAAAACAUGGGUCGUGAGUACAUGGGCCAGGCCCAGGUCGAGUCACGGCCCAGCCGUUAUCUACGAAGCCGAUAACAAAUUGGGAUCUUAAAAAAAAGAAAAAGAAAAAUGAAAACAUCUCCGCCGCUCCCCUAUUUAUUCCCUCCCCGCAUUUCCAUCGCUUCUCUUCACUCGUAAAAGUCGCCCUCUACGCACGCCUCUCACUCUCCCCCUUCCUCCUCUUCGAUCUCCGAGCGAAGAUGAGGCCCUCGAUGCUCCGAUCCAUCUCCUCCGCCCUCCUCCGCCGCCGUGGGGGCGGCGGCGCCGCCGCAGCCCCCGGCGUCCUCGCCCGCUCCUUCGCCUCCGACGCCUCCCCCGCGCGCAAGGUCGCCAUCCUCGGCGCCGCUGGAGGGAUCGGCCAGCCCCUCGCCCUCCUCAUGAAGCUCAACCCCCUCGUCUCCUCCCUCUCCCUCUACGACAUCGCCGGGACCCCCGGCGUCGCCGCCGACGUUAGCCACAUCAACUCCCGCGCCGAGGUGCUCGAUCUCGUUCCCCUCCUCCGAUCUCGUAGAUCUAGUGCGAUCUCGUAGUUUUGGUGCUCUCGCUGUGCGAUCUCGUAGGUCUGAUGCGAUUUAGAGGUUUGGAUCUGAUUCCCUGCUUCGGAUUGAUCCAGGUGAAGGGUUUCGCGUCGGAGGAUCAGCUCGGCGAGGCCCUCGAGGGUUCCGAUGUCGUCGUCAUCCCCGCCGGGGUGCCGCGGAAACCCGGGAUGACCCGCGACGAUCUCUUCAACAUCAACGCCGGCAUCGUCAAAUCCCUCUGCACCGCCAUCGCCAAGUACUGCCCCAAUGUAUGUGAUCUCUCAUCUUCCCUAAUUUCCCUCUGUUAUUAUUCUCUCUCUCUCCUUUUUUCCCCCUUUUUUCGUGUAAGAAUUGUACAGGACCCUACUCAUCAUCAAUAGCCAGUACGCAAUGGACCAUCUUAACAAUUUUCCUUUUGAUUGACAUUCCCUCAAAUUUUGAUCCUCAUAUAAGCUAUUCGCGUUAAUUAGGUUCGGAUUUUGUUAGAUUUAAUGGCGAUUCUGUCGAAUUCAAUUGUUCCAAAAAACUUUUUCAGCUGAUGGAACUACUGAUUUUGUUAACUGUUGACCGUUGAUUUUAUCGGAUUCUCCAGUUAAAAGCUGACAGGUGUCAAUGAAAAAAAAAAAAAAGUCUCUUUGAAAAUGGUCUAUAGUUGAGGGAUUUCUCCUUAUACUUCUACCUUGUUUUUUUAAUUUUCUACUCUUUGUUCAAUUGUUUUUGGCUGGAUUUAGGCUAUUGUAAAUAUGAUCAGCAAUCCGGUGAACUCCACGGUGCCGAUUGCAGCAGAGGUUUUCAAGAAGGCCGGGACAUAUGAUGAGAGUAAGCUCUGCGGUGUUACCACUCUCGACGUAGUCAGAGCCAAGACUUUCUAUGCUGGCAAGGCAAUGGUUCCGGUUGCUGGUAAUUGCUUUUCCUUUGGACUAGGAUGUUUGUUUUCAUGGAUCAUUAGAUUGGAUCUGAACAAUGUUGAAUGGUUUAUUGGUUUGGCAGAUGUUAAUGUCCCUGUUGUCGGCGGCCAUGCUGGUAUAACAAUCUUGCCUCUAUUUUCUCAGGUACUUACGUUGAUUUGAACUGUUGGUUCCUUAUUUUAUAUAUUCGUAGUUUUUGUGUGGAUUAGAAAAGCUUUCCUGUUUGAUCUUCGUUUGCAAGUUUGGAGAUGUUGUUUAUCUUAAUUUCCGAUUUGGAUACAGGCGACUCCUGCUAGUAACGCAUCAUUGUCUCAUGAGGAUAUCAAGGCUCUAACAAAAAGGACACAAGAUGGUGGGACGGAGGUUGUGGAGGCAAAGGCAGGAAAAGGCUCUGCAACGCUAUCUAUGGCGUAAGUAUCAAAUACCUAUGGAGCUAACUCUUGUUUCUUUCUGAGAUUUGGACCUGUAGUAGUUCGCCUUCCUUCGUCCCAACAGUUUUCCGCAUCGUGGUUGUAUUACUUUGUAGCCUAGUAGGUCCUGCUUCAGUUUCUGUAGCUAUUUGUAAGCAAAAAUAACAAAAGUAAGCAAAAAUAACAAAAGAAGUCAGGCUAUGCUAGUUCUAGAAUUGAAGCACUUGGUCCCUAAUUUUUUUUUUCUGGCAGGUGACAUGAACAAAACUAUUAUACUGCUUGGUUGUUACUUUUUCUCUGUAUAUUUCGUUUGCUAGCUUCUCUGUCGGAUGUAAGGACUUCAAGUUCUGAUUUCUAGUUCUUGCUGUGUCACAUAUUGCUCUAUACAGUUUGUUUAGGAAGUCUUUCCUCCUCGACCCUCUUUUUCUUUUCAUCUUCUGCUGUGCUGUCGUGUUUGCUGGCUCCCUUUCCCUUUAAGUCGAUCCCCCCUAUUAUAGAAGUCCUAGAUUUUUAUUUGGGACCAGGUUUGGCAUUUUGAGAGAGAUUCAUGAGGUAGCCUCCUUUUCUUCCCCUCCUGCAUAGUUUUAAUUACUUGAUUGGUUUUAGAAGUUAUGGGGACCUCUUCUACCUUAACCUUUUAAUGUAAGGUGUGGUAGAAUAAACAUGGCUGCAUCCAAUUUGCAAAAGCUGUUUUGCUGUAAUUCUUAUCUUCUAUGUCUUCCUAUUGGGACUAGGGAGCACCUUUGGUAGAUAGGUUGUUGAUCAUAGCUGCAUGAGGUCUUGUUGCACUCGAAAUGACAUCUUUCAAAACUGACUGCAUAGCUAGAAAUGUGUUGUUGUUGUUUUUUUUUUUUUGGGGGGUUGUAAGUACAUCCAUUCAUGGAAGUGUUAUGAUUGUAGCACCUCCGCGUACAUGUUUCAAAUAGAAGCUCCAGUAAUUUCUGUUCACCAUUUGCUAGCAUAGAAAUUGACAAACAGUAGCUGGUUGGUGAUCUUAUAUGCCAAUAACAAUUUCCUUUCUCUUGAUGGCUAGUGGAAGAGCUCAAAUCUAUUAUCCUUAUUUACCCGUCUCUAACUAGUACAAUUUGGUGCAGGUAUGCUGGAGCCGUCUUUGCAGAUGCAUGUUUGAAGGGUCUUAAUGGUGUUCCUGAUAUUGUUGAAUGUUCUUAUGUCCAGUCGACCAUCACCGAGCUACCUUUCUUUGCCUCUAAGGUAAUUUCGUAAUGUUUGUAAGACUGCCUAUUCUUCUGCUCAAGAUAAGAUUCCCUUAACUUGCUUUUAUAUUAAUCCACCGUUUAUCUGGCAUUGUAUGUUAUAUCAUCGUCUACCUAUGGUUUUGAAUGGGAUUGCCGAAUGACUAUACUUUGUCUCAUAACUAUUGACUGAUAUGAUGAAGAAACUGUUAACAAUACAAAGUAGAUGAAUUACCAUUCCCUAUCUUCUCGAGCUUUCGAACUUAACAAGUUACUGAAAUGCCUGUUUGGCCUGUGUUUCUGGCGUAGCUUCUCCACUCUGAAAAGCAUUAGUUGGGUGUUUGGGAAACAAAGUAUUUGGAGCUUUUGCUGUGCUUUAAGCUGAGAUAGCUUCAGGGCAUCAAAACAGAAGCUCAAAUUUUUUAAGUUCCUGCUGCUGCUGCAGUGGAAAUUUGUCACAAUUUCUACGGUAGAGCCGUAGAGGCUAUCGGUUCUUCUUCAAACAGCCGAACAGCUCUACUCAAUAUUGUGUUUCUCCAUUAAGCUUUUGCUGGGUCAAUCUGAGAAAAGUUCAUGGCAUAUGCAUUUUAAUUGUCCUCUAACAAAAGAGUAACUGAUUGUGUAACCACAGCAGGUUUAUGGCGCAUUUGGCAUGCAUGGCUAGAUUAACUAACUUACGGACCUAGAUACCCUUUUUUUAAAAAAGUUCAAUUACCUUUUGACAGGUGAGGCUUGGGAAGAACGGGGUAGAGGAGGUGCUUGGAUUGGGCCCCCUCUCAGACUACGAGAAAGAGGGUCUCGAAAAUCUCAAGCCCGAGCUCAAAUCCUCCAUCGAGAAGGGCAUCAAAUUCGCGAAAGAGAACUAAUUAGGUCGAUUGAUGAGGUUUCCGAACCAUUCCCAAUUUUGUAUUUGUACUCCGAGGGUCUAUCCUCUCAAAUGUUGUUGUGGUUAAGCUAUUAUUCUUAGACUGCUUUUAGCCGCGGCUCAGCUCGGGCACUCCUGAGGCUUCUUCCUUACACAAUAAAUCACGCGGAAUACUGAAGAAAACUUCAAUUUAAUUUGAUUAUGAGGCUGUUUAGCUGCAGUUGAUCAUGUUGUUUAUUAAUUUAGCCACCGAAUCGUUCUUCAGAUUUUGUUUAUUCUUGAAGUUUGAUGUCAGAUCUGCGAGAAAAAUUAUGCAUUAAGCAAAUACUCCCCAGAAAAUUUGGUGUAGCAUUCUCGGUUUUCCGACUCUUCAAUUUUAAAUUUUAGCAACAAGAGGUUCGUAAAUCCAAUUUGAGUUGUUGGUGUGUUAUAGAGACAACCCCAAUUUGGGAUCUGUAAAUUAACUACUUUAAAUAAUGGUGGUAAGCGAAAAUUGGUAGCUGUUUCAAAGAUGCAAUAAAAAGUACUACGACAGCAUAAAUAAAGUGGAAAGCAAUGGCACAUGAGCAAAACCAAAUUAACUUAAGAACGGGUCAAAUCACCCUUUUCGUUAACUACACCUUUAUAUCUAGUUAGCUAAUGUAAAUUUACGCAUAAAUAAAGAGAUUAAAAAUGCUUUGCUUACAAACAAAUAUUAUAAUAUUUUACAAACUAGGUAACUGUAUGAAUGUAUUUCAAUCAUGAAAUUGUAAAUUAUACUUAUCUCCUCGUGAUUUGUACUUUUUCAUCAAUUAAAUACCAUCUAAUUUAUGCUAAUUUGUAAAAUAUUGUAAAAUUUAUUUAUAAGUAUAGUAUUACUCUAUGUUCAAUAACCACUUGUCGGUGGGGCUAGGGCACUAAUAAAGAUUCAACAAAAGCGGACAAAUUUGGGGGCAACUUGAGCUGUCGGAAAGCUGAUUUAACAACAACAACAAUUUAUGGAUCUGACCUCGCUGGCUCUUUCCAUUUUGCCCAAUCUAUGAAAGGAAUUCCUCAUUAGUACAUUUAUUAGGUGAAUCCACAUUUUCGUCUAUCAGUUUAAACUUGUAAAUUAUUACUAAGUUUUUUAAAUAUAAACUCAUUGAGUGUAUAAUAUUCAGAGACCAUUCUCCCACAACAUAAUUUUUUAAAGAAUAUAUAACAGUUGUUUUAAUUAAUAUUAAUUGAAGUUCAUAUUUGGAGUCUAUUAAAAUAUCUCAAAUUUAAAUAUGAGCAAAAGUGCUGAAUAUAUAGCCAUUUAAUACCGUUUUUUGAUAGUGUAAGUUUUCGAAGUGUAACAGUUAUUUUUUGUACCUUUAUUGGUGAUAUUCCAGUCAAGUUUAUAACUCUGUUAUUUCUGAUGAAUUUGACGAUUAUCUACUAACCGCAUCACGCAUUAAUAGUGAUUAACAUAUAAAUACUUCAAAGCACAUAUUUUAGAUCACAAAAACGUAAAAUACAAUUAAUAAUAAUAAUUCUCAUUAAGGUAAGCUCUUUUAAAGUUGUUCCUUUCCUUCGUUUAAGACAUACCCGCGCUGUUGCUCGGCAUUGCAUGCGUCACACAUUCCCUUCCCAAAAAUCGCACCACCACCGACCAACUUUUGUGAAAGGGCAAUGCUUUGGGCCCUCAGAGAGCUUUUCAUAAAAUGUUGAUGCGUUAAUAGUUUUGUAUAAAACUUAUUUUAGAUUAUAUUUUGUUUGAAAUACAAUCGGUAGUACAUAAAUAAUAUUUAUUAUUUAUUUUUUAGUUUUUUUCCAAAAAAAUAUUUUAUAUUAAAUUUAUGUAUAAAUUAAUCUUAUCAAGUGAUAUAUCAAAAGAUUUGUUUAUAUAUUUUUUAUUAGUAUUCUAAAGAUGAAGUCACAUUUUUGCUUCGAUUUUCAACGGUUUUUCGGAUAAUAACGCAGUAGUUGUCACCUCAACUAACUAACGACUCAGUUGUCUGAGGCUUUAAACUUUUGACAAUGAAGUUUUCCCAAAUAUCAAAAGGAACGAAAAUGUAUGAAUAUCCUAUUGCCAUUUGCUCCCUCUAUUUUUGGCUCGAGUAAUUUCUCAAUUUUCACUUUUAUUAUAUUUUAAUUUUUACUGGCAAUUUUUUUUUUCCUUUUUUAGAUUUUAGGGUGAAGAGAAAGUUUUUUUUAUUCCUCUAUUUGUAAAAUAUACAAAAAUAUUUGCCCAAGUAGAUUGUGACACCCUAGUUUUUCGGGGGGUCAUUCAUAUUAGGAUUAUUUUCGUCCUAAUGGUCUAGUCACUGUCUAACAUGUUUAAAUCGGAUUGAGAGUUUUAGUUCUAUUAUAUUUUAUAUAUAGAACUAUUCGAGACUUUUCUCUUAAGUUAUAAUGUUAUUCAGACUUAAUAAUAGAUGAUGUGAGAUUCAUCUCGCUAGUCUAAAUCGAUUUUGUAAUGAGCUGCGCUUCACCUAUAGCAACUAACAUUAUAAGAGUCUCGCUCUCUCCAUCGUAUAAUUCUGACUCAGUUGGGAUUCAUCUUAUAUUUUCGACCGAUAAUUAUGACAUUGAAACCAAAAUCUCAAUGUCGGAAUAUUAUAUGGACUAAUUUAUACCUAUCACCCAACUAAAAUGAGACUACGAGAGUUGUUGGAGCGCACAAGCAAUCGAGAGAGAAGCUUGUGGAAACUCUACAACAACAACAACAACAACAACUCUCUCUCGCUACAACAACAACAACAACAACAACUCUCUCUCUCUCUCUCUCUCUCUCUCUCUCUCUCUCUCUCCAAUGAGUUCCUCAUCCUCUUCUAUACUCCAUAUUCCUAUUCAAAUUCUCUUUAUCAUAAUCGUGAUCUCCGAUCGCUGCAGCAGCUUUGCAUGCUACACGCGCAUCUUCAGCUUCGGCGACUCGCUGACGGACACGGGCAACUAUCUGCAGUCCCUCGACGGCCGUCCCGACCCUGUCCGCAGCCUUCCCUACGGCCAGACCUUCUUCGGCCACGCCACCGGCCGCUUCUGCAACGGCCGCCUCAUCGUCGACUUCUUAGGUCCCAUCUUCUCUCCGCACCACCAAAGAUUAUUUCUGAAUUAUUUUCUAUCUAAAUCUCAGUCACAUGUCUCGUCGUAAAAUAUAUAUAUAUUUGAUUACAUGUUGUGGGCUCAAUUUCCCAUAUCCUGCAUUUGUACGACACAUCAAUGGGCGUGUUAUUCUAAAUCAUUACAUCUAAAGUAGUAUUUUAAGUAACAUGGUAUCAGAAUCCGUACUCUCGAAAUUUUUAAAAUCUCUUUCGUAAUUAUCACGUCUAUUGAUUAAUUUAAUGGGUCAAAUUCACUCUUUUUUCUUCCCAUUGUGUCAUCUAUCUUUCGAGUGAUUGUAGGUUCAAUCAUUCUUAUUUUUUCUGUCAGUUUACGUGACGUGAUUUAUCUGAUCUGAUCUUUAUGGUACGCGUGAUUCUAGAUGUUAAAAUUGUUUUUGAAUUGUUUUUUAUAAGAUCGAUCUUUUGGGUAACAUGCUCUGCUUGGUGCAGCCCAAGCAUUAGGAUUGCCGUUCCUUCCGCCGUAUCUUGCGGGACGGACGGCGGAGGAUUUCCCGCACGGGGCCAACUUUGCGGUCGCCGGGGCCACCGCAAUGAACGGCUCCUUCUUCGAUGCAAACGGGGUCACGGUGACGUGGACGGAGUACUCGUUGGGCACUCAGCUUCAGUGGUUUAAGAAGCUGCUCCCUUUGAUCUCCUCUGAUUCAGGUUCGCUUCUCUCUUUGCGGCAUUUCGUCGAGCACGUUGUGUGCGUGCGUCGCUUGCUUGCUAAUUAGCCAAAAUAUGAAGAAUUGUGUGUCUAUUUUGGAUAUUGUGUGUGUUGCUUGUUCUUAGAUCUCUCCGUCGAAUGUUCAAAUUAAUGUAGGAAAAACCACACCAAUGUGUAGGAUUUUGGGAGAGUAUGUACCGAGUGUUCGAUUCUAGCUCCGAAUUUCAAUGUAGUUUACCCUUCGUGUGUUAAAAGAAGACAUCCUAAAUGACCACUUUGGUUUCAAAGAUGUGAUGAAUUGUAACUAGAAAUGCGGCAAAUUCAGGGCCAAGAGUAAAAGCAAUCGAUGUCGUCCACAAAAAUACUCGUAUCGUAGACAAAAAAUUGUCUUAGAAUAGAGUGUACACUAUAACAUCAUAACAUUUAAAACCAUAUUAUUAGUUCAAUCAUUACUGUAAUGUUUAAGAUCUUCCUGUACGAUAUAGGGGUUAUAAGAUAUACACAUUUCCACUCUUUGGACAGUAAAUAAGAACUCCAACAAGCUAAUCUAGUUACCAUAAUUAUUUAUAAGCAUCUGUCAAACCGAGCACCGAUGCAUUCUUGACUAAAUUACAUGCAAGCAGCAUGUUUAUGUAAUAAAAAGUUUUGUUGCAUUACAUUAACCAUUGCUGAUAAAUUUUAACAGCACAAUUUUCCGACUUGGUUGCUCAACUCAUCUUGACUUUCAAUUAUGCUGUUUUUCAACUCAUCUUGACUUUCAAUUAUGCUGUUUUUCAACUCAUCUUGACUUUCAAUUAUGCUGUUUUUCAACUCAUCUUGACUUUCAAUUAUGCUGUUUUUCAAAGUGUAGUAACUUGUGUCCAUCAAUUUAGGUAUGUCAAAUGCCAAUAUGAAUGUCGGUCCUGGUUACUGUUAAUAUUUGGACCAUAAUUUACCUCAUAAGGGCAAGAAAUUGCGAGUAAUACAAGGUUUUUGCAAGAUUUUGCCCUUUUCUGAUGUCCGUAAUAAUCAAAUCCGGAGUUCCACGAAUCUCCAAACGAAGCUUCACGUACCCUGGUCUUCAAAAUCAUCUUAGAACUCUUGACUCAAAGGCUGUAAUUGUGUUGCUUGAGAGCUGAGACUAUCUUGGCGUCGUUAAGUAGCUAAUUCUACAUUACUUGAACCUCUCGAUAGACGAUGAACUUGUUGGUUCGAGAUUGAUAGUAAAAUUAAUACAUUUUGAAAUUUUGACUUGCUAUACAAAUUUGGUAAUUAGGUGGUAAUUCAUUCAAAAGCUUAACUACCAGGAAAUAGCUAAAUUUUCAUACAUUCAGCUGUUGACAAAGUCGAUAAACCAUUUGCCAUUGUAUUGAAGAUGCUCUUGGCUUGUUGAAGUUUUGUUCUGCUCCACAGGGAACCUCUUUUGUGUCGGGUAAAGCGUUACAGCAAUCGUGCCAUUUUACCUAUUGUUACUGCUUACUGCUUCUAGUGCUUCAUGGCCCUUAUCCACCCUUUACAGAUAUUAAAAUAAAUAUGAGUCGAGUUAGUAAUAAAUGUUUUAUGUAGAUCGGAGCAAGAUCAUGAACAGCUCGCUUUUCCUUGUGGGUGAGAUCGGAGGAAAUGACUACAACCAUCCACUCUUCCAAGGCAAAACUAUCGAGGAAGUGCGCUCUUUUGUUCCGAGUGUCAUCACUACCAUCGGAUCUGCAAUCAACGUGAGUGCCAUUUCUUUUCUCUCAACAGAUCAUUUUCAAAGGGGUACAACGUAUCGAUGUCCCAGUACGACUUUAAUACUCGAACCUUCUAAUGGAUUAAAAUUUUAUCCCUGACCUUAAGAAAGAAUAGUCCGUACAUUUGAAUUGCAAUAUACGAGGAGGUUUAUGAUCUUAACUGUUUAAAUGAAGAAAUAGUCCAUACAUUUGAAUUGCAAUAUAUUAGUGUGCCAUCUGAAACAUCAUCUGCUGAACUUUGAACUUUAGCCCGCAGGAUCUGAUUGAACUCGGCGCGAGGACAUUGGUGGUGCCGGGUAACUUCCCAAUGGGAUGUGUCCCGACGUACCUCAUCGAAUUCCAAAGCCCAGAGGAGGAAGAUUACGACCCGCAAACAGGUUGUCUUAAGCAGUUGAAUGAGUUUGCGGAGUACCACAACCGCCAACUUCUGAAUGAGUUGGACAAGCUUCAAAGGCUUCACCCUCAUGCUACAAUAAUCUACGCCGAUUAUUAUGGACCUUCAAUGAAUGUUUAUCAUUCGCCGGAACAGUUUGGUGAGUUCUUUUUCCUCUUGCAUUUCCAAUGAUGAAUAUCUUUUUUUCUCCACAAUAAUCCUGCGAGUUUUUUUCCUUUUUUCUUUUUCCUUCUUACUUCUAACGUUGUGUUAGGGGGUUCUUUAAAAAAGAAUAAUUUAAGAAGUCAAGAAGAAGAAUGAAUUGCUUAUUGCUAAUCCUUUAGAUUCCUCUGAAAUUACAACCUAUCACUAAAAAUGCUCUAAUCAAGCAUUUCGCUUGAAUAUAUUUAUUAUGUUGUCUGCAGCUACCUUAGACCCUACUCUUUGCAUCUCAGAUGUAACCUAUUCUGACCUUUCUGAUGUAAAGUUCUUGGACUUCUUGGUACUGUAGUGGAAAUAAUUUCCUCCUGCAUUCAAUAUAAUAGAGAACCAUGACCUAAAUUUAGAAAUUUUAGCCAAGGAUGUUUCGGCUUUGUUUAUAUUUUACUUUUUUGCUUUAUUUCUGUCUGAUUUAAUACAUCUGGUUAUGUACUACUCUUUUCUUGUUUUUGGUGGUUGCUUUGCAAGUUACUCCUUUUUUAAGGAUCAAAGAAGGAUAAGUUACUGGUAAACUUUCCUCCUUUUUUUUUUUUUUCAUUUUUGUUGACAAAAACAGUACAGUUCUAGGAUUUGCAAACUACUAUGCAAGUUCAUCCAUAGGUGCUUCAAUCACAUAGAACCUGAGUGAAAACAAUAGCAAUGAAACACAAAAGAUAUCAUAGAAGGUCAAAAGCUAGUGUCAUGUAGGUUGACUUGGUGUCCUGUGCUUCCUGAAGUUUAUUAUAACGAAGUUGAAAAUUGACUUCCGCUACUGAAGGCAUGCUUUACUAUAAUGGAGCUAAAAAGGAUUAAUUCCAAUUACGUAAUGUUUUACUAGUCCUGAUUCUAUACAACCACAAUCUCUUCCUAAAACAAGUGCUUCCGAAAUUCAAGGACAUAAGACCAAGAGAAACAAAGCAAUUCAGCAGAUUAUCUGCUCUCAGGCAAUCCUUUUAAAUGAAGAUUGAUGUGGUGACAGGAAUCAAGGCACCCCUCAAUGCGUGCUGCGGAAGUGAUGCUCCUUACAACUACACCCCAUCAGUAUACUGCGGGAGCCCAGAGUCAAUCGUAUGUGCCGAUCCAUCAAAGUAUGUUUCCUGGGAUGGGUUACACUUAACCGAGGAGGCUUACAAGAUAGUUUCUCUUGCGAUGUUACAAGGGCCGAAUGCUCUUCCUGCUCUAAAAGCGUGCGCUAAUAAUCAAACCACCAAUAAUCAAACGAGCGCUGCGCGUGUUCUCUAUCCGCGCCACUUGCAGUGGAUAAGCUGGACAAUUGUACUCUCCACUCUAUUGUAGCUGUUGGUUUCUAUGGAGGAGAAAUAGAGCUAGAUUUUCCUUUACACAAGUGCCACUCAUGCGUAAGUUUCUUAUUCUGUGUUAUUGCUGUUGUUCUUUCUUUGACAAUUUAUUCUAUGUGGCAUACGAGGCAUAUAGUGAUUUGUUAUAGAGAAGCACUUUUGUAGUACUGAGAUAAAGUGAUUAGUUAUAAACUAAACUUGAGUUAUGCCUUGUGCUUGGCGUUAUCUUUCGAUUACCUGUUUGAAUAGCCAACUACUUUUGAAUUUCUUCCUGUGAUAUGAUUAUGCGAAGCUGAUUAAGGAAAAAAUGUUUUAUUUAGCAAUGAUGAAUAGUGGAUUUUGGAAAAGCUUAGCUUAACAGACUAAAAUUAAUCAGCAUGAAACUCGGCAAGAAAUCGUUGUUAUUUGGUAGAUCCGCUUACUUAAUCAAAAGAUCAUAUAGGUUUGGUACACUAAUUUGACCUAGUGAUUUAUACUUUGUGAUUCAAAAUAUGUGUCUCUCACAAUGUGUAGUUCAUUCUCCAAGUGAUGUUUAGUGUUGGCUUUGUAUACAGGGAUGAAUUAAUAUCCUGUUUUCUUCCUAAAUCUUCCUGCUUCAUUUGACCAUAGGAACUGGGCUGGGUAGUUUUCUCUAAUGAGUGGUGUUGUAAUUAAGAUAUAUAUGACUCCUAAUUCAUUUUAACCAAUUCUUAACCCUAAUUCAUUUUAACUAAUUCUUAACCAAAAUGAUGAAGAAAUUAUAUUGUGACAUUAUAAAGAGAGUUAUAUGAUAGUACUUAACAAAUUCUUAGACCAAGUCUUUGUGCAAUUGUUUGAACAAGUCUUGUAGUCUGAGCUUGAAAUAUGCAUCAAAACUUUUUGCACUUUCCUUUUCGACUCUCUGUUAAUUAUUUAGAAAUUGGCUAACUAUUUUGACUAGGAGGUGACAUAAUAUAUAUUGUCAUAUGGUAAAAUAUCUAAGGAGUUGGGUUAGAAUACUAUUAAUAGUAUUUAUUCUUUUUUACUAUCAAAUUUUUAGUCUUUAUAUCAAUUCCUUAAAUCAUUUCUAACUAUUGGAUUAAAUAUUAUAACCCAGUGGAGACCACUUAAUCCUAAGGGACUAAUAUCAUACUAACCCUAUAAUUUUUCAUCUAAGGGUUAAAAAUUUAAUAGCAUAAAGGAGCAAAUACUAUCAAUAGUAUUCUAGCCCGACUCAUAUCUUAGUAUAUGAUGAUAGUUAAUUAGUAUCGAAGUGAAUUGGAUUGGACCUUCUCUUAAAUGGGCCCAAGAACAUUUUAUUAUUAUUAUUAUAAGUGAAAAUACAAAAAAACUUUCUUAUAAGUACUUGUUUUUUAAUUUUCCUCCCAUCACUUUCAAAAACUUAUAUUUUAUUCUCUCAAAAUUUCAUAUUAAUGCACUUAGCCCUCUUUCAUCAGAAUUUUGUCACUGUUUCGUUUAUUUCUUAUAAUUUAUAUCGAAAAUAUCAUUGAAAGUGAUAAAAAUAUAUUAAAGGUUACUUCGCACUUUCUAUUAAUGCGGUAAACUUAUGAAAAUAUUUUUAAAAUUUUGAAAAGGUGAAAUGCAGGUUUUUUAACGUCAGAAAAGAAAAGUGAAAAGAAGAUAUGUGUAAAAGAAUUUUCUGUGUCUAGCCAUUUUUAUAUCAAAGAAUCUCGCGAGCUUUUACUUGUGAAAGUACAAACAGAGAUCAAAACCCCUCACCUCACCGACCGUCCCUAGAACAAGUGGCAAAAGGCUUGAUGGUUGAUACCUGAGGUCCCAAGUUUGAAUAAUAGUUAAUUCACAUUUUCAACUAAGUUUAUUUCUAAAUGAAAUAAACGAAACAGGUAGUGUGCUACCUAUCUCUCAAAAUAAAAAUAAAAAUAAAAAUAAAUACCCCUCACCUCAAAGACAAGAAGCCGGGUACAACCAGUUGAGCCAAGCCAAAAAGAUGUUCUUAUGUAGGGCUGGCAAACGAGCGAGCCGGCUCGCGUUCGACUCGUGUUCGGCUCGAUAUUCGGCUCGCUCGAGCUCGACUCGAAAUUAAAUGAGCCGAGCUUGAGUAUUACUCGGCUCGUUCGAAUUAGGCUCGAAAAGCUCGAAAGCCCGAAAUAUAUAUAUAUAUAUAUAAAAUGUAUUUUAAUUAUAUAUAGGCUUUAAUUUAAUUUGGGCCAUUAUUGUUGGCCCAUAAAAUAAACCCAACAAGUACAAUCGUGCAAUUGAGCCCAACUCUAAAUUUACAUAACACACUCUCUUUCAGACUUUUACUGUUGCACAUAACCCUAAAAUAUGAUAAUAUUCAAAUUUUCAAAUCCCUAAUUUUUUUUUCCUCUCUCUCUCUCUCUCUGAUCCUCACCCAGUCAGGCAGUCACCCUAGCUCACAUUUCUUAUAAUUAUUUUGUAUUUUGAACUAUUGAACAUGUUGUAUCAAAUUAUAGGUAAUGUUCUAUAAAAAAUAAAUUAUUGAUUAUAUUAUGUCGAGAAUUUCAAUCGGCUCGUUUAGAGCUCGAGCUCGGCUCGACUCGAAAUUAGGCUCGCUCGAGUUCGGCUCGAAUUAAUUUCAAGCCGAGCUUGAGCCUAGAUUUAGGCUCGAAAUUAAUUUCAAGCCGAAUUUGAGCUGACAUAAGCUCGCUCGAGCUCGGCUCGUUUCCACCCCUAUUCUUAUGUACUUAAAUUGACAUUGAUUUUACAAUAGCAAUCUUUGUAUAAAAUAAUUAAUAAAAAAAAGGGUUAAAUUUUCAACUCAAAAAUGGGAUACUUGUCAAACAAUUUUAAGAUGACAAAAAUGCUCCUUUUAAUUCAAUCCCAAGAUAGUAGGGUGAAAUGUUAAUCCAAAUUGACUUUGAUUAAAUUGACUUUAAUGAUUUCAAAGUCGUGAUUUUAUUGGACCACUUAGGGCCCGUUCGUAAUUGAGGGCAAUCAACGCUAUUACACAAAAUAGAGUUAGGGCAAAAGUUUACAAAACUAUGAUAUUUUUGAUUGAUCAUACAAAAUACAUCAUAACUAAUUUAUUACGAUAAGUGCAAUGUAAUAUUAGGUAUGAAAAUAAAUAUAAUAUAUUUUUAUCGUAUAUUCUCACCGCACUUUAACAUACCAUUCCUGCAAUUAUAAACUGAAACUAUAUGCUUGAAAACAAAAAAAAAAAAAUGGAGAAAGCCUUCUCUAUAACUAGCAAUAUAGGAUUUGUAAUAAUAUGAUCAAAUUUUGCUUUCUAUCAUUGUCUAAUGUGUAAAUUAUGAAAAUACUUUUGGCCUGAAGCAAAUAAAUUAGUUAAACUCCGAAAAACUAUUUGUUCGCAAAAAAAUUUUUCAUAAAAAAAACAUCAUUUUUAGAGUAUUUGGUUUCCAAAUAAAAACUUUGAAAAACAAAAAUACUAGCUUUUUAUCAAAUCUUAAAAAAAGGUUUUUAAGAAAACUAUUUUUUCUGUAAAUCAAAUAGACGAAAAAGUAUCUUCUAAUUAAAAAAACCUAUUUUAGAAUUUUUUUUUUAUUUGAGACCCUUUUAAUUUUUAAUUUUUUGAAUUAAAUUUUUAUAGUUAAUUAAGUUAAAAAAGUUAAUUAAAUUUAUACUCAAUUAGAUAUUAGUCUUUAAUGAAUUCAGUUUUAUAUUCGCUGAAAAAUAAUUUAAACUAGUAAAUCUAAUGAACCAUCAAUCAAUUUGGUGGCACUCCUAAUUUAUUUGGCUAAAAUUACUCAAAAUUUGAAAAUUAAAAGUCAAUAGUCUCAAUAAAUAAUAUAUAAGUGAAAAAAUGCUGCUUGUACACUCAAAUUUAGGGUAUAAAUCUUAAAAACUCAUUUUAAAUUUUUUUAAUACUAAAAAAAAGACCUGAUUAGAUUAGUAAGAAAAUAUUAGCCUCUAGAUGGAUAAGGUGCAAAAUUUAAGUUCAUUUCAUGGAUCCCUCUAUAUAAAUAGUUGAACAAGCUAUUUAAGAAUGCUCUAAACUUAAAACUUUUCAAACCAAAUAUAUAUGGCCUAAUUAAUUAGUAUGUAACCCGAAUUAAACCCCCAUUUUUUAUUGGAUUAAUACUACAUUUUCGAGUGGAAUAUUAUACAUAUCCAUGCACACUUGGUGGGAAAAGCUUGCACUACUACAAAUGGCCCCGCAUGUCCACGUCCUGAACCAAUUAUAUACCUAACCCCCGUUGAAAUAAACUUCAAUUAAUUGAUAACGAUCACGUAGGUACGUGCGAGAGAGAGUGUCUGUUAAAUAUAAAAAUAUUUAAACACCGUUCUCUAACAGCUUAAGUUUUUAGAGUACAACGGUUGUUUCAUAUAAUAUCAGAGCAGGAGGUCCUGAGUUCGAGUCACGCCAGGCUUCUAGCAUAUUAAUUUCCUCCCAUUUAAUUCAAGCCCACGUCAUGAGCCGAUUAAAAAGUCUCGAGCCCAGUCGUGAGGGGGAGUGUUAAAUAUAAAAAUAUUUAAACACCGUUCUCUAACAGCUUAAGCUUUUAGAGUACAACGGUUGUUUCACAUGGUAUCAGAGCAGGAGGUCCUAAGUUUGAGCCCGCCAGGCUCCUAGCAUAUGAUACUAUGUGAAACAACCGUUGUACUCUAAAAGCUUAAACUGUUAGAGAACGGUGUUUAAUAUUUUUAUAUUUAACACUCCUAACAUAUUAAUUUCCUCCCAUUUAAUUCAAGCCCACGUCAUGGGCCGAUUAAGCUUUUAGAGUACAAUGGUUGUUUCACAUGGUAUCAGAGCAGGAGGUCCUAAGUUCGAGUCACGCCAGGCUCCUAGCAUAUUAAUUUCCUCCCAUUUAAUUCAAGCCCACGUCAUGGGCCGAUUAAAAAGUCUCGAGCCCAGGCGUGAGGGAGAGUGUUAAAUAUAAAAAUAUUUAAACACCGUUCUCUAACAGCUUAAAGCUUUUAGAGUACAACGGUUGUUUCACAGUGUCGAGAUGUUCUAUUAAUUUGCAUGAUCUUCUACGCCGUUGCAUAGUAGGAAGAGCAUGUUUACUUUUGCUGAUGUUAGAAGCAGCAUAUAUUAAUAGUAUACUGAGAUAUUUUUAACACCUUUUUUCGCCGUUUUUGAAUAUUAUUUUUGAAUUACUUCUUUCUUAAUUAUCACCUAUAUUGAUACUUUGAGUAAAAUUAUGUCAGAGCGAAUUGAAUAAGCGAAAUCCGAGAUGCGGCCGAGUGUCUGAGGCCGAUAAUGAGAUUGGAAUUAGUAGCCGCUUCUGUCAUCCUAGACAGACAAUUCGCCACCAAAAGGAAGAGGAAAGAUGAAAGCGGAUCCCCCUGCCUUACCCCCUUUUUCACCUUAAUUUAAUUAGUGGGCUCACCAUUAGCUAAAAUGACUAUUUUGGGGUUUCAAACAUAGAGUCGGAUCUAACCACACUACUUAUCGUUGAAACCCCACCAGUUCAAGAUCUUGAAUAAGGACGGCCAGUGGAUGCAGUCGAAGGUCUUAUCAAAGUCGACCUUAACCCCAACUCCUUCUACAUUGUGUUUACUUCUCCAUCCAAAGAGCUCACGAACCAUUGGAUAAGUAUCAGUGAUAUUCCUUCCCUUCAGAAAGACCGCUUGGUUUGGGAAAAUUAGCUCCGGCAUAAUUGCAUCAAAACGGUUGGUCAAGACCUUAUAUAUAAUCUUUUGGAUCAUAAUGUAAUGUUUUUUUUUUUAUUUGUGAUUCGAUUCACCCCCACCGAGGCUCACCUCCCUCACUCAUGUAGCUUAGCUCAUUCUUUUUAUGAAUGAAGCAGAUAGUGUACUACAUUUUCUUCACAAAAAAAAAAAAAUUGCAUCAGAGUUUGUUAAUUAUCUCUCAUGCAUGUCAGUGUAUAGGCUAUGAUUCACACGAUCACCGUCAUUUGCACGAGUAAAAAAUAUUAUGAUUAUUUUUGAAUCAUUUGAUUAUUCUUUUCGAUGACAAUUUUACCUGCAACAGGAGCUUUACAUUUUUUUUUUGCCUAUUAAAUUUUUUUUUUUUUUGAAAACAACUGAGACGAAAGUAAUUAAAAGCAGAACCACUAAUUUCAACUGCCUCAGCAGCAACAUCUUUUACUGGGUAAAACCUAUUCUUUUCUCCUUUCUUGUGAGAAAGUAAAUAGUAAAACAUAUAUAAUUGAUAUCUUAUCUUAUAUCUAUAGCUCCGGGACUACGUCAACCAUCACUGGCUACUUAUACACCGGCUCUCUUCUUCCUCCUCUACUUGCACCAUACAUCCUCCAUUAUCUCUCUCUCCACCAUGGCCAUGACUGACCCAACCAAGCUUCCGAAGUUCUCGAGCUGCCGCGGCGUCUCCUUCGAGAUCCAACCCUCGCCGUCGAGCCCCUUUGCGAUCCCACCGACAUCGAACAGCCAAACCGCAAACCAGGCCGGCCGAUGGGUCUGGCUCCCGUGGUCGUCUCAAAAUGCCACUUCCACCGUCGUCCCUUCAGCCAACUCCCACCGUUCCAUGAGCCGCGCUAGCAGCCACUUCUGCGACCUCUCCGACGACGGCAACGACGACAAGGAAGAAGACCGAGUAGACGACAUCGAAGCGCAACUCGACGACGAGCAACCAGCGGAGCCAAAGAAGCAGCAAGAGCAACCGAUACUAGUGACUCCUCCGGGAAGCGCUUCUGUGAAAAAGCCGACCCCGCCGCCUCCGCAGGAGUACUCGCGCCUCGCCGUCGUACUCCUGGACCAGGGCUUGUUCACCGUCUACAAGCGCCUCUUCGCCGCGUGCUUUGCGCUCAACACAACCGCGCUAGCGCUCGCCGCCACGGGCCAUUUCGACUACGCCAAGCGGAGAGCCGCGCUCUUUGCCAUCGGCAACGUCUUAGCUCUCACCCUCUGCCGCAGCGAGGCGCUCCUCCGCGUCGUCUUCUGGCUCGCCGUCAAAGCCCUCGGCCCCGCGUGGGUCCCGAUUCCGGUCAAGACCGCCGCCACCGCCUUCCUCCAAUCCCUCGGCGGCAUCCACAGCGGCUGCGGCGUCUCCUCCGUCGCGUGGCUCGUAUACGCUCUAAUCCUCACUCUCCACCGCCGCAGCGAGACAUCGCCCGAGAUCAUCGCCGCGGCCUCUUCCGUCCUCGCCUUGCUGUCCCUCUCCUGCGUCGCUGCAUUCCCGCUCGUCCGCCACCCCCACCACAACGUAUUCGAGCGGACCCACCGCUUCGCCGGCUGGACAGUUCUCGCAAUUUUGUGGGCCUUCGUCCUCCUGACGGCCAGCUACCACCCGGACACCAAAUCCUACCACCGCAUCAACGCUUCCGAGCUCGCGAAGCGGCAAGAAUUCUGGAUUACCGUACUCAUCACCUUCUUCACUAUUUUGCCGUGGGCGACGGUGCGGAGAGUCCCCGUGUCCGUCACCGCCCCGUCGGGCCACGCUUCGAUCGUGAAAUUCUCCGGCGGGGUGAAAGCAGGCCUGCUCGGCCGCAUAAGCCGGUCGCCUUUAUCCGAAUGGCACGCGUUCGGUAUCAUAUCCGACGGCGAAGAAACCCACAUGAUGCUCGCCGGCGCGGUCGGGGACUUCACCAAGGGAUUGGUGUUGGACCCGCCGCAGCGUAUCUGGUGAACAUGUACCGGAGGGUGGUGCUCGUCGCGACCGGAUCGGGGAUCUGCGUGUUCCUGUCCUUCCUGCUGCAGCCGUGCGCGGCGGCGGUGUGCGUGGUGUGGGUGGCGAAAGGCGUGGAGGCGAACUUCGGGAGGGAGAUUACGAAUAUGGUCACCGGCGGCGGCGCCGGGUGGGGGGAGAGGAAGGCGGUGGUGCACGACACGGCGGUGCUCGGGAGGCCGAAUGUGGCAGAGAUGGCGGUGGAGGCAGCGAAGGACUGGGAGGCGGAGGUGGUGGUGGUCACCAGCAAUCCACAGGGGAGUAGUGAUGUGGUUAGGGCUUGUAAGAUGGCCGGAAUACCUGCAUUUGGACCCAUUUGGGAUUCUUAAUUUAUUUAUUUACUUAAAACACUGCUUUCUGUGCACCUACGGAUUAGAUGUAUAUCGUUCAUCCAAAAAUUUUUAUUUUCUAUUAUCUUAUUAUUUUUUAUUAUUAAAUUAAAUGAUAUCUGAUUCAAAAAAUAUUACAGUGCUCUUAAUCCAUAAACUCUUUUAUAUUUUUAAUAUAUAAAAAAACAGAAAAUAAUAAGAGAAGAAGUAAUAUAAACCCUUAUAUGAGAGAAUAGAAAAUUUAUAUUAUUCCCUUUUAAGGUGUCCAGAUAGCAUUACUCUAGUAAAAAUUCAAAACAUUUUGUGAAUCCCAAAAUGCACUGGAUGCAAGAUUUACACCCAAGGGAUAUAUAUUUGGAACACUUUUGAGUAAGUGUCUCAUUUAUACUAAAACUUAAAAAAAAUCUGCUAAUGCCUAAAUAUAAAGCCCAAUCCAACCAAAAAUAAAAGAUUACUCUACUUAACCCACCACACCCAGUCCAUUUGGCCCGAUUACAAACAGAAAAGAAAAAAAAAGAAAAAAAGAAAAAUCAAUUGCCAUCUUUUCUUCUUUCUUCACUCAAUCCACUGAAAUUUUAGACGAAUAACCUUUUCUGUCGUCCUCCUCCGCCACCGCAGCCAACGAGAUAGAGUUUCGGCGGUUGCUAAAUGUUUAAAUAAGUGUUGGUAAAUUAGCAGUACUUUUUUAGGUUAUAGCAACACUCUUUAACUGUCACUAUAUACCUAACGAUCCCACAUGUAGCAACACUUUUUAAAAGUGUCGGUAAUUUUAGCUAGCAGCAUUUUUUUGAUAUGUACCUGCAUUUAAAAGUGUCGCUAUAGACCGUUUUUAUUGUAGUGCAUGUGUAAUAUAUUUUUACAAAAUAAAUAUUAAAUAAAAGAUAAUGGAUUAUUAACCAUUUCUCUCGCGUAUUAAAAAUAGUAAACAAUUUACAAUUUUCUAUACGAACAAUCCUAAACUCUAAAUCCUAAACCGUAAACCUACAAUCAGUUACCGUUUUAUGAUUACUUU
Molecule: long non-coding RNA, 32224 nt
Filed under: Ananas comosus (pineapple)
Lineage: Eukaryota; Viridiplantae; Streptophyta; Magnoliopsida; Poales; Bromeliaceae
Description: long non-coding RNA (ACOM_LNC024791)
Source: RNAcentral